Molecule: ribosomal RNA, 408 nt
Filed under: uncultured bacterium
Lineage: Bacteria
Description: partial 16S ribosomal RNA
Rfam family: Bacterial small subunit ribosomal RNA
Source: RNAcentral
GACGAACGCUGGCGGCGUGCUUAACACAUGCAAGUCGAACGGAGUGGCGAACGGGUGAGUAACACGUGGGUGAUCUGCCUUGCACUUCGGGAUAAGCUUGGGAAACUGGGUCUAAUACCGGAUAGUGCAAGAUGAGCUCUCGGCCUAUCAGCUCGUUGGUGGGGUAAUGGCCUACCAAGGCGUCGACGGGUAGCCGGCCUGAGAGGGUGUACGGCCACAAUGGGACUGAGGUACGGGCCAAACUCCGACGGGAGGAAGCGGUGGGGAAUAUUGCACAAUGGGCGGAAGCCUGAUGCAGGGACGAAGGGUGGGAGAUGAAGGCCUUCGGGUUGUAAACUCCUUUCGACAGGGACGCGGUACCUGUAUAGGAAGCACCGGCUAACUACGUGCCAGCCGCCGCGGUAAUUC